CAUUGCUGUUCUUGCGGCUGAAGAUACUGGCCCAUAAUUCUUCAUCAUCUAAUCAGCAAAUGCGCCCAGGCAGUGUUCUGGGAGGCCUUGAGAUGCAGAGAUUUAAAAGGGAAAAUGUAGGGACUGGAGAAGGAUUAGACUAAAGGGUUAUGGCUGACCGAGCUGAGUGACAAAAGCCUGAAGGAUAGUUGUGGGGUUUGUGUAACUCAGAUGAGGAGAAGAGGCUAGAGGAGGGAUUGAACAGGAAGUGUUUCUUUCUGCUCACUAUGCAGUAUGUGGAAGCACAGGUGGUCUUUGGGUUCUCACACUGUUCUCUUUCUCUAACUAAAGAUCACUGACUGUAUGGGAACCCAUGUUUACAGACAGAGUGCUGAUCGACUUGACGAGUUGACUUCUGCCUCCUUAAACUGACUUUUUCCAAGAAGUUGAUUCCCAAGAGAAUAUUGACGAUGGCUUUCCAGCCUUACAUCUGAGUUGCCCAUAGCUGGGUUUGCCAUGUUGAGAUUAGACUUCUGCCAGUUUCGGAAGGACAGUUGACAUGAACUUGAGGGAAAAGUUGGGACCAGCCAUCACUUUCACUUCUGCUGGCUCUUUUGACCGAUUUUCAGUUCGUCACAGUUCUCAGUCCAAGCUGAUAGGAAUACAUUUUGUAAAGAAGUAUAAAUCAGACAU
This is a long non-coding RNA of Chelonia mydas (Green sea turtle), 672 nucleotides long. RefSeq lists it as uncharacterized. The record is from RefSeq and is a predicted model, not a curated record. NCBI's taxonomy places the organism in Eukaryota, Metazoa, Chordata, Testudines, Cheloniidae. The transcript has 3 exons.